Molecule: transfer RNA, 90 nt
Filed under: Pseudomonadota bacterium
Lineage: Bacteria; Pseudomonadati; Pseudomonadota
Description: tRNA-Ser
Rfam family: tRNA
About the family: Transfer RNA (tRNA) molecules are approximately 80 nucleotides in length. Their secondary structure includes four short double-helical elements and three loops (D, anti-codon, and T loops). Further hydrogen bonds mediate the characteristic L-shaped molecular structure. tRNAs have two regions of fundamental functional importance: the anti-codon, which is responsible for specific mRNA codon recognition, and the 3' end, to which the tRNAs corresponding amino acid is attached (by aminoacyl-tRNA synthetases). tRNAs cope with the degeneracy of the genetic code in two manners: having more than one tRNA (with a specific anti-codon) for a particular amino acid; and 'wobble' base-pairing, i.e. permitting non-standard base-pairing at the 3rd anti-codon position.
Source: RNAcentral
GGAUGGGUGGCCGAGCGGUUGAAGGCACCGGUCUUGAAAACCGGCGAAGCAGCGAUGUUUCCGUGGGUUCGAAUCCCACCCCAUCCGCCA